AGUGAACGCUGGCGGUAGGCCUAACACAUGCAAGUCGAACGGCAGCACAGUAAGAGCUUGCUCUUACGGGUGGCGAGUGGCGGACGGGUGAGGAAUACAUCGGAAUCUACUUUUUCGUGGGGGAUAACGUAGGGAAACUUACGCUAAUACCGCAUACGACCUACGGGUGAAAGCAGGGGAUCUUCGGACCUUGCGCGAUUGAAUGAGCCGAUGUCGGAUUAGCUAGUUGGCGGGGUAAAGGCCCACCAAGGCGACGAUCCGUAGCUGGUCUGAGAGGAUGAUCACCCACACGGGAACUGAGACACGGUCCAGACUCCUACGAGAGGCAGCAGUGGGGAAUAUUGGACAAUGGGCGCAAGCCUGAUCCAGCCAUACCGCGUGGGUGAAGAAGGCCUUCGGGUUGUAAAGCCCUUUUGUUGGGAAAGAAAAGCAGCAGGUUAAUACCCCGCUGUUCUGACGGUACCCAAAGAAUAAGCACCGGCUAACUUCGUG
This 492-nucleotide ribosomal RNA is filed under the name uncultured bacterium. Its description in RNAcentral is "partial 16S ribosomal RNA". It matches the Rfam family "Bacterial small subunit ribosomal RNA", at positions 29 to 507 of the family's 1533-position model. The record is from RNAcentral.